GACGAACGCUGGCGGCGUGCCUAAUACAUGCAAGUCGAGCAAAUGACGAGAAGCUUGCUUCUCUGAUUUAGCGGCGGACGGGUGAGUAACACGUGGGCAACCUGCCCUACAGAUCGGGAUAACUCAGGGAAAGCUGGGCUAAUACCGGAUAAUCCUUCGAAUCACAUGUUUUUAAGUUGAAAGGCGCUUCGGCGUCACUGUAAGAUGAGCCCGCGGUGCAUUAGCUAGUUGGUGGGGUAACGGCCUACCAAGGCAACGAUGCAUAGCCGACCUGAGAGGGUGAUCGGCCACAUUGGGACUGAGACACGGCCCAAACUCCUACGGGAGGCAGCAGUAGGGAAUCUUCCACAAUGGACGAAAGUCUGAUGGAGCAACGCCGCGUGAGUGAUGAAGGUUUUCGGAUCGUAAAACUCUGUUGUAAGGGAAGAACAAGUACGUUAGGAAAUGAACGUACCUUGACGGUACCUUAUUAGAAAGCCACGGCUAACUACGUGCCAGCCGCCGCAGUAA
RNAcentral lists this ribosomal RNA (510 nucleotides) under uncultured bacterium. RNAcentral describes it as "partial 16S ribosomal RNA". It matches the Rfam family "Bacterial small subunit ribosomal RNA", at positions 28 to 523 of the family's 1533-position model. The record is from RNAcentral.